RNAcentral lists this ribosomal RNA (478 nucleotides) under uncultured bacterium. Its description in RNAcentral is "partial 16S ribosomal RNA". It matches the Rfam family "Bacterial small subunit ribosomal RNA", at positions 28 to 523 of the family's 1533-position model. The record is from RNAcentral.
GACGAACGCUGGCGGCGUGCUUAACACAUGCAAGUCGAACGGUAAGGCCCUUCGGGGUACACGAGUGGCGAACGGGUGAGUAACCCGUGGGUGAUCUGCCCUGCACUUCGGGGUAAGCCUGGCAAACUGGGUCUAAUACCGGAUAGGACCACUGCCGGCAGUGGUGGGGGGUGACAGCUUUUGGGGUGUGGGAUGGGGCCGCGGCCGAUCAGCUUGUUGGGGGGGUGAUGGGCUACCAAGGGGAGGACGGGUAGCCGGCCUGAGAGGGGGACCGGCCACACUGGGACUGGGAGACGGCCCAGGCUCCCACGGGGGGCAGCGGUGGGGAAUAUUGCGAAAUGGGGGGAAGCCUGACGCAGCGACGCCGCGUGAGGGAUGAAGGCCGUCGGGUUGUAAACCUCUUUCAGCAGCGACGAAGCGCAAGUGACGGUAGGUGCAGAAGAAGGACCGGGCAACUACGUGCCAGCAGCCGCCGUAA